CGGGGCGCAGAGACUCGCCCUCUAAGUCUGGCCUCAGCUUUUCCUCCCUUCAGGCCGUUUUUUGCUCAUCGGAUCUGUGCGAAGUGGCUGGCGGAGGAGAAACAAUUGAGCUUGGUCAUGUGGCAGAGCUGAGGGGAGAGGAGGGAAUUGCUGGCUCUGAAAACGAAAUCAACAAGAAAAACAUCCCUCCCCCCCCCUUCCUCCCAAACACAGAUCGUGCCCCGGGGCCUUUUGCCUAAGAAGGAAGCAAGUCGGAGGGCAGGCCGAGCGCUGGCGCAGGGAGCUCAACUGCAAAGGAGCUUAAGCCGGCUUGCACAGAUGCGGACACAGAACUCGGCAGCAGCCCUGUCCACUCCAGAAGUCCAACGACCCUUUUACGUGACUCAAGAUCUCCCUGGCUAUGCAUCCCAGAACCACGGCAUUUCACUGCGGAGCAGCCGAAAUUGGCCGUUUCCGUUGAUUAUGACUACAGCUACGGUCAACAGCGUCAGUGUUCGGCUGUAUGACCACAAAAUGGAAAACUUCCAGGAUCACGACUAACUGAACGAAAGUGAGUUAAAUAGCAUAUUGUUCUUGUGAUGUAUGAAUGACGGUUUCUUUUCACU
Molecule: non-coding RNA, 605 nt
Organism: Pelodiscus sinensis (Chinese soft-shelled turtle)
Lineage: Eukaryota; Metazoa; Chordata; Testudines; Trionychidae
Source: RefSeq, a predicted model, not a curated record